Acinonyx jubatus (cheetah) is the source of this 970-nucleotide long non-coding RNA. RefSeq lists it as uncharacterized. The transcript has 3 exons. The record is from RefSeq and is a predicted model, not a curated record. NCBI's taxonomy places the organism in Eukaryota, Metazoa, Chordata, Mammalia, Carnivora, Felidae.
CUUAGUUCAUUCUAUAAAUAUGUGCUAAAUGUUGGCUGUUUACCAAGCCCUAUACUAGGGUCUGAGUAUUCAGGAAUAGAAGGAGUUCAGUCUCUUCUCUCAUGGGGUUUAUUCUUAGGUGGGAAAGAUAAAUAGUAAACAAGUAAGUAGAAACAUAAAAUCGUUAUAGGUGCCAUGAAGGAAAAGCACAGGCUUCCAAAAGAAAGAAUGACAGGAGAUCUCCAGUAGAUGGUGAGUCAGGGCAGUCUUCUGAGGAAGUGGUGUUAAGCUAAACCUGAAGUAUGGGUAGGUCUCAGCUAAAUGAAGAUGGGGUAGAGAGUCAAGGCUUCAAGGUAGGCUGGGACAAGUACAAGACCGGAGGCAGGAGAGUGCUGCUGUGUCCAACGUCCCAAAGGACGGUUAAAACAACUAUGUGGCAGCAAGGUGUCACCUCUGAUGGGACUAUCAUGUCACAUGGUAGUGUGCAGCCAGGUCAUCGAGCCUGGUAAGUCAUGUUAAAGAAUGGUUUUGUUGUUGUUGUUGUUGUUGUUGUUUCUUUUUCUGUGAGUUUUAGUUUUGCUUUUGUUUUUGUUUUUUUCAAAUGCAGCGGGAAGCCUUUGAAAGGUUUUCAGCCAGAAAGUACAUUUUCUGUUUGAGAAAGAUGACACUGGGGGACCAGUUGGAAGGUCGUUGCCAAGGUUCAGAAGUACAGCCAUGCGAUCAAUGGAAUCAAUGAAGGACCUCAUUCCUUGUCCACACACGUGCUGUGGCUGUCUACUUCCCGAAUGGUUUUCAAUGAUUUUCUCAAAACGGCCACAUUGAGUUCAUCCAAAUUUCCCUCACGGAUAGCUGGGAUCCCACAGCCCUGGCCUGGACAGGGCACCAUGCAGGCAGCGAUGAGCCUACCAGGGAAGGACUGGCCUCUGGUUCUAAGGAGUAGAGCAGAGGAGAAGCCAAAAUCUGGGUUUGGAGUGUAUGACCAGGAAGCAUG